GACGAACGCUGGCGGCGUGCUUAACACAUGCCAGUCGAACGGAAAGGCCCUGCUUUUGUGGGGUGCUCGAGUGGCGAACGGGUGAGUAACACGUGAGUAACCUGCCCUUGACUUUGGGAUAACUUCAGGAAACUGGGGCUAAUACCGGAUAGGAGCUCCUGCUGCAUGGUGGGGGUUGGAAAGUUUCGGCGGUUGGGGAUGGACUCGCGGCUUAUCAGCUUGUUGGUGGGGUAGUGGCUUACCAAGGCUUUGACGGGUAGCCGGCCUGAGAGGGUGACCGGCGACAUUGGGACUGAGAUACGGAGCAGACUCCUACGGGAGGCAGCAGUGGGGAAUAUUGCACAAUGGGCGGAAGCCUGAUGCAGAAACGCCGCGUGCGGGAUGACGGCCUUCGGGUUGUAAACCGCUUUCGCCUGUGACGAAGCGUGAGUGACGGUAAUGGGUAAAGAAGCACCGGCUAACUACGUG
Molecule: ribosomal RNA, 468 nt
Filed under: uncultured bacterium
Lineage: Bacteria
Description: partial 16S ribosomal RNA
Rfam family: Bacterial small subunit ribosomal RNA
Source: RNAcentral